CCUACGGGAGGCAGCAGUGGGGAAUAUUGCACAAUGGGCGAAACCCUGAUGUAGCGACGCCGCGUGCGUGAAGAAGUAUUUCGGAAUGUAAAGCUCUAUCAGCAGGGAAGAUAAUGACGGUACCUGACUAAGAAGCACCGGCUAACUACGUGCCAGCAGCCGCGGUAAUACGUAGGGGGCAAGCGUUAUCCGGAUUUACUGGGUGUAAAGGGAGCGUAGGUGGCAGGGCAAGUCAGAUGUGAAAACCCGGGGCUCAACCCCGGGAGUGCAUGUGAUACUGUCCAGCUGGAGUGCAGUAGAGGUAAGCGGAAUGCCUAGUGUAGCGGUGAAAUGCAUAGAGAUUAGGCGGAACACCGGUGGCGAAGGCAGCUUACUGGACUGUAACUGACACUGAGGCACGAAAGCGUGGGGAGCAAACAGGAUUAGAUACCCGGGUAGUC
RNAcentral lists this ribosomal RNA (440 nucleotides) under uncultured bacterium. RNAcentral describes it as "partial 16S ribosomal RNA". It matches the Rfam family "Bacterial small subunit ribosomal RNA", at positions 338 to 795 of the family's 1533-position model. The record is from RNAcentral.